Molecule: ribosomal RNA, 441 nt
Filed under: uncultured bacterium
Lineage: Bacteria
Description: partial 16S ribosomal RNA
Rfam family: Bacterial small subunit ribosomal RNA
Source: RNAcentral
CCUACGGGCGGCAGCAGUGGGGGAUAUUGCACAAUGGGGGAAACCCUGAUGCAGCGACGCCGCGUGGGUGAAGAAGUAUUUCGGCAUGUAAAGCCCUAUCAGCAGGGAAGAAAGAAGACGGUACCUGACUAAGAAGCCCCGGCUAACUACGUGCCAGCAGCCGCGGUAAUACGUAGGGGGCGAGCGUUAUCCGGAUUCACUGGGUGUAAAGGGAGCGUAGACGGCCGUGCAAGCCAGGAGUGAAAGCCCGGGGCCCAACCCCGGGACUGCUCUUGGAACUGUGCGGCUGGAGUGCGGGAGGGGCAGGCGGAAUUCCUGGUGUAGCGGUGAAAUGCGUAGAUAUCAGGAGGAACACCGGCGGCGAAGGCGGCCUGCUGGACCGCGACUGACGUUGAGGCUCGAAAGCGUGGGGAGCGAACAGGAUUAGAUACCCGAGUAGUC